Molecule: long non-coding RNA, 377 nt
Filed under: Capsella rubella
Lineage: Eukaryota; Viridiplantae; Streptophyta; Magnoliopsida; Brassicales; Brassicaceae
Description: long non-coding RNA (CRUB_LNC001859)
Source: RNAcentral
UGGAAAACACUAUCCGAAAAGAGAAUUAUACUAAAGACCACCACUCUCUCUCAGAUUCGCAACUUUGAGUUUCAUUGCUUGUAAUGGCCAAAUGGUCCAAAUUUACAAUGCCUUCAAAUAGUUUGAGAUGACGUUGUCUUUUUACUUUCAUCGACGAAAAAGAAACUUUGAGUUAUGUAGUUUACUUGGUUGAGUGAUUGAAUAAUGAGGGAUACUCGCUCACUUGCAUGAUAUAUCCAUGACAAGAUUACAUAAAUAUGAGUAAAAACAAGAAUAAAAGUUAAGAAACAAAAAAAAAACGAAGUAGAACAAAAUUGGCCGUUAAAACAAGUCAAAAAGGUAUAGCCAAACUUUUUUGCUAUAAAAUCUUUCCCGUG